GUGUGUGUGUGUGUGUGUGUGUGUGUGUGUGUGUGUGUGUGUGUGACGUCCCUGCUCUGUUCUGAGGAGAUUGUGUUUGGGGGUUUGUACUUGUGUGUAGGUAGAUUUGAGAGAGAUUUAGCACUAUGAGAAGGUAAAGAUGUCACCUAGCUGGCGGGCUGUGAUGUGACAGCAGGUCAUGUGCACGCUGACUUGAACUGAGCACAAAAUCCAGGUUUCUUGUCCAGAAGGCGACGCCUGACCAGUCUGUGGAGUAGCGUUGAUGGUUUAGCGCUGGCAACACGAAAACAAAUCGAUGAUUUCGAACCAGUCGGUGGCUUUUCUGUGUCAGCCUCGUACGUGACAGUGCUUUAGUGAGGAAACAAUAUUCUGGCUUUUCACAGCUUCAUUUCCUCAAUAAUCUUAAUAGCUUAAACAUGCUGCGUUUUAACUUUUGACAAGGUUAGCAUUUAAUAUGAAUCCCGGUCCGCACAUUCAAAUAAGGAAAUUGGAGCGAGAUGUCAGUUCAGGGCUUAGCUGUCUGUGUGCAGUGGUUGAUGUGAAAAUGCUACAGUAGUGAAACGUGUCCUUGGCCUUUUGCUAUUUCUUUGGAGAUGAAAACUCUGAAUAUAAAUUUGAGGAACUCCUAUUUUUUAACGUGUGCCAUAUUUGAAUCUCCAAGACUGGUGACAUGUGUUGCCUGGGGAUGUGGAUUGGUGUUUCUGUGUGGGCGUGCAAUCAGAUUGGAACGGCAAGCACGUGUUCACGUCAGGUUAUUCACAUGAAGUUGUUCCCGCGGUCUGACGACGUUACUCCGUGAUCCAGACAGUACUUUACGGCCGUGGUCCCACAGCUGUCUCCCAUCUGGAAAGAUCCAAUGUUUUCUGAGGGUGAAACCAAUAUUUCCAACCGCUGCCGCAGUCUGAGCAGCAGACCCAGUGUAACAGUAUGUCCGGUGAAGCCCGAGUGGAGCAGUGCUGCACGGCCAGUGGAAACAUUGGAUUUAUACACUUUUUUUUUACUGCUCCGGUUAGAAAGCAGACAUCUGUGGGAUCACAAAAAGCUUUUGCAGAUGUAACCUGCCGUAGUGAAAGAUAACUACGGUAGUAACAUUCAGAGUGAAGUGUGAACCCGCUGUAAGGAGUGGCUGUGUGUGUUUGAAAUCAUUUCAUAUUUUCCUUCUUUGUCUUUUAAAACGCUGUUUUCCACUCACACAGAAGCGUCUUUCUGUUGACUCUGCAUGCAGUCGGGCCGUGUCUUAACGUUGGUUUGCAUUCAGCCUGAUCACAGGGGUCUUUUCCAUUCCUUUCCCCCGGGUUGGGGUUAGUGUCAGCGUCCGCAGGCUUCAGAGUUCACUCUGAAUGUGCUGAUAGGAGCUGGGCUUUGGUUAAAGUUGGCUUCCAGCUGAUGUACAGUGCAUGGUGCUGCCCUGGUCGCUGUGGCGACCAAAUGAAUGCAUGGCUCAAACUGAUGAUACCUCUCCCUCUCUCUAUCCUGCUCUCUAUCCUCAGUCGAUUGGAGGGCUGUCUCUUUCUUUAGAUUUGUAUAAUAGCCCUGUUAUUAAACUUCUAUUUUGCACGAUACGUCAUGAAACACAUUAUGUGCCUUUGCCUUUAGUUAGACAACAAUAAUACAUUAAGGAAAAGUGGUCACACUUUUCAUGGUACAGCUAGUAGCACUUA
Molecule: long non-coding RNA, 1661 nt
Organism: Etheostoma spectabile (orangethroat darter)
Lineage: Eukaryota; Metazoa; Chordata; Actinopteri; Perciformes; Percidae
Exons: 2
Source: RefSeq, a predicted model, not a curated record